Molecule: long non-coding RNA, 302 nt
Organism: Homo sapiens (human)
Lineage: Eukaryota; Metazoa; Chordata; Mammalia; Primates; Hominidae
Gene: TRPC3-AS1
Product: TRPC3 antisense RNA 1
Exons: 3
Source: RefSeq, a predicted model, not a curated record
AAGUCCACGCUGGGACGCCCGGGAGGAGUUCAGGGUUCAAGUGCGCGCCUGGGUCUGUGCACAUCUUCCCCUUCCUCGGCCUCCCUGGAGGGAAGACCGUAGAAGCUUUAUCAUAGGGCCUAGUGUCAUGAUCAUAUAUUUACUCCAUAAAUACCUGUGAGGGAAGAAAGCUAAUGGAACUUGAGAGCAGGUGAAAUGGAAGGCUAUGUGCAAGUUCUAAGGGAAUAAAGUUUGUUUUCUAAUGUUGCCUCUUUAUGUAGAUUGUUUUUUCAUAACUUGAUUAAAAGUCUCCGUCCUUUUCA